UAGAUACCCUGGUAGUCCGCACAGUAAACGAUGUACACUAGGUGUUGGGGUAAGACUCAGUGCCGCAAGCAAACGCAAUAAGUGUACCGCCUGGGGAGUAUGCCCGCAAGGGUGAAACUCAAAGGAAUUGACGGGGGCCCACACAAGCGGUGGAGCAUGUGGUUUAAUUCGAUGAUACGCGAGGAACCUUACCUGGGUUUGACAUCAAGAGGGAUACUAUAGAGAUAUGGUAGCGUAGCAAUACGUCUCU
This 250-nucleotide ribosomal RNA is filed under the name uncultured bacterium. RNAcentral describes it as "partial 16S ribosomal RNA". It matches the Rfam family "Bacterial small subunit ribosomal RNA", at positions 779 to 1031 of the family's 1533-position model. The record is from RNAcentral.